AAAGUCGUAACAAGGUCUCCGUUGGUGAACCAGCGGAGGGAUCAUUACCGAGUUAUUACUCCAAACCCUUUGUGAACCUUACCUAUGUUCUGUUGUCUCGGCGGGGCGCCAGGCCUCUGGCCAAACCCCCGCCGGCAGCAUAAAACUCUUGCAUUUUAUAGCGGAUUAUAUUUCUGAAUUAAACACAAAACAAAUCAAAACUUUCAACAACGGAUCUCUUGGUUCUG
RNAcentral lists this unclassified non-coding RNA (227 nucleotides) under Ascomycota sp. RNAcentral's name for it is "partial contains small subunit ribosomal RNA, internal transcribed spacer 1, and 5.8S ribosomal RNA". The stretch from base 1 to 47 matches the Rfam family "Eukaryotic small subunit ribosomal RNA", at positions 1785 to 1831 of the family's 1831-position model. Lineage: Eukaryota; Fungi; Ascomycota. The record is from RNAcentral.